RNAcentral lists this ribosomal RNA (520 nucleotides) under uncultured Glomus. RNAcentral describes it as "SSU rRNA". It matches the Rfam family "Eukaryotic small subunit ribosomal RNA", at positions 569 to 1091 of the family's 1831-position model. The record is from RNAcentral. Lineage: Eukaryota; Fungi; Glomeromycota; Glomeromycetes; Glomerales; Glomeraceae.
AGCAGCCGCGGUAAUUCCAGCUCCAAUAGCGUAUAUUAAAGUUGUUGCAGUUAAAAAGCUCGUAGUUGAAUUUCGGGGUCAGUAGGUUGGUCGUGCCAAUGGUAUGUACUGGCUUUACUGAUUCCUCCUUCUUGAAGAACUGUAAUGCCAUUAAUUUGGUGUUGCAAGGGAAUCAGGACUGUUACUUUGAAAAAAUUAGAGUGUUUAAAGCAGGCUUACGCUUGAAUACAUUAGCAUGGAAUAAUGAAAUAGGACGUUGAUCUUAUUUUGUUGGUUUCUAGGAUUGACGUAAUGAUUAAUAGGGAUAGUUGGGGGCAUUAGUAUUCAAUUGUCAGAGGUGAAAUUCUUGGAUUUAUUGAAGACUAACUACUGCGAAAGCAUUUGCCAAGGAUGUUUUCAUUAAUCAAGAACGAAAGUUAGGGGAUCGAAGACGAUCAGAUACCGUCGUAGUCUUAACCAUAAACUAUGCCGACUAGGGAUCGGAUGAUGUUAAUUUUUAAUGACUCAUUCGGCGCCUUAA